AUGGUGACAGGUUUCUUAAUACAACACACGCUACCUAUGCAUGUCAAAUUAUUCUCAGUUUUGAUCUUAUAUAGCCUAAUCCAAGGCAUUGUAAAUGGUACAAGUCUCUUCAACGCCUGUUCUUUCUCUUUUGCUUUUUUUAAUGUACUGUUCCAUCAGAGCUUUCCAGGUGUUUUCCGAGAGAGCGGAACCUUUGUGACUUCUCAGAGUGCAAUAUCCCCAACACUCAUCGCAGCAGGGAAAGUGGAGAGAGGAGACAGGCUAGCCCGCAGAGGAAGGUCUAUUUGGCUUUAUUAGAGAGCUCUACAAGCAAUACACCCAUGCAGGCAGAGUUCUUCAUGGUGCCCUUUCACUAGGGUUAGUAAAAGCUUGCCCUCCACUGCUAUUCAGUCAUUUCACAUUCCUAAAGAACGGAGUUGUGUUCAUAACUGCCAGAUCUUCUGUUGGUUCACAUCAAGAGCCCAGCACGGCCCACAACUGUCACUUAGAAGCACUGCUUUCCGCAUCACCAUGGGUCUGUUCGAAGCUGUAAGCAGAUUAAAGCCAGGGAUCUGUUUCUAAGAACCAGAACCGGCACGUCACUGCGGAGAUGAUGCUGUGGAGGAGCAGGGGUGAGAAGGGGAAGGAUGGUUUAGGAAAAACGAUGGCAGGAUUUUGAGCUGAUCUGUACCCGAAGCUGAAAUGUUGUGUUUCUGUUUCUUUUCUUCUCUUUUCAGCUUGCAAUGAACCUGUACUUGUUCCAUUGCAGACUAAAACCUUGCCUGGCUUCACAAGAAGUGUCCAUUGAAAUAUUUAUGCCGACUAGGUCUGUGAUUUUCACAGUACAGCUGUAUAAUAAAAACAUAGAAAGAUGGGGGACUGUCCGUGGGGUUAAGAGGUAACCGACCUGGGUCCAAUUGAUCCAGACCUCUGCUUCCCGACUGCAGCAAAAGGAAGGAGAGGACAUCUGUGGGGGCUUCCUGCUGGAUAAUGUGGGAUGCUUCCUGUCCUAUCACAGGAACAGGAAGUUAAUAAUUGAGUGGGGGAAAAAAAACUCAAAAUGAAUUUUUCAUCCACUCCUUUAUUUCCCUCCCGUUUUCUCUCCCUCCCCCCUAAAACAUUCUUGGUUUUGAAAUCCAAAUAAAAAUAGACAGCUUUUUGCAUUUGUUUUUUUUUUUCAUUUCCGAGGGCACACAUUUGAAUUUAGGUCAAGGCUUGGAGAAGCCAGAAAGAAA
RNAcentral lists this long non-coding RNA (1214 nucleotides) under Lepisosteus oculatus (spotted gar). RNAcentral describes it as "lncRNA (ENSLOCG00000021060.1)". The record is from RNAcentral. Lineage: Eukaryota; Metazoa; Chordata; Actinopteri; Semionotiformes; Lepisosteidae.